CACAUGCAAGUCGAGCGGUAACAGAUCCAGCUUGCUGGAUGCUGACGAGCGGCGGACGGGUGAGUAAUGCAUAGGAAUCUGCCCAGUNGUUGGGGAUAGCCCGGGGAAACCCGGAUUAAUACCGAAUACGCCCUACGGGGGAAAGCAGGGGAUCUUCGGACCUUGCGCUAUUGGAUGAGCCUAUGUCGGAUUAGCUAGUUGGUGGGGUAAUGGCUUACCAAGGCGACGAUCCGUAGCUGGUCUGAGAGGAUGAUCAGCCACAUCGGGACUGASACACGGCCCGAACUCCUACGGGAGGCAGCAGUGGGGAAUAUUGGACAAUGGGGGCAACCCUGAUCCAGCCAUGCCGCGUGUGUGAAGAAGGCUUUCGGGUUGUAAAGCACUUUCAGUGAGGAGGAAAACCUUACGAUUAAUACUCGUGAGGCUUGACGUUACUCACAGAAGAAGCACCGGCUAACUCCGUGCCAGCAGCCGCGGUAAUACGGAGGGUGCAAGCGUUAAUCGGAAUUACUGGGCGUAAAGCGCGCGUAGGUGGUUCGAUAAGCGAGAUGUGAAAGCCCCG
Molecule: ribosomal RNA, 562 nt
Filed under: Marinobacter sp. SP25
Lineage: Bacteria; Pseudomonadati; Pseudomonadota; Gammaproteobacteria; Pseudomonadales; Marinobacteraceae
Description: bacterial SSU rRNA
Rfam family: Bacterial small subunit ribosomal RNA
Source: RNAcentral